UACGUAGGGGGCAAGCGUUAUCCGGAUUUACUGGGUGUAAAGGGAGCGUAGACGGAAUUGCAAGUCUGAUGUGAAAAUCCGGGGCCCAACCCCGGAACUGCAUUGGAAACUGUAUUUCUAGAGUGUCGGAGAGGCAAGUGGAAUUCCUGGUGUAGCGGUGAAAUGCGUAGAUAUCAGAAGGAACACCAGUGGCGAAGGCGGCUUGCUGGACGAUGACUGACGUUGAGGCUCGAAAGCGUGGGGAGCAAACAGG
This 253-nucleotide ribosomal RNA is filed under the name uncultured bacterium. RNAcentral's name for it is "partial 16S ribosomal RNA". It matches the Rfam family "Bacterial small subunit ribosomal RNA", at positions 524 to 776 of the family's 1533-position model. The record is from RNAcentral.